AUGGGCGAUACUGCAUUUGGAAAGAAGAUGAGAACUGAUGCUGGAGUUGGUUCAUCCAUUACCUCAGGUCCAUGGGCCCAAUUUUCUAGAAUGCCAGUUGGAACUAUACCAUUUUCAAUCAACAGUGCCUUUGAGUUUCAGAUUGUUAAUGGUGUACCCACUUGGAAGCCCAGACCUGUUACUCGGCUCAGCGUAACUAAGAUUUUCUCUAAGUCAGAUCUUAAGAGAAUUUUGAUUGACAAGAUGAAGAGCGAUUUGAAGGAGAAGGUAAGUGAGAUACGAAGUAGGCCAAUCCAAGCUACUGUUGAUUGUCCAGCGAGCAAGAAAUAUGUUGAGGUUAGCAAAGCAACAGUUGAUUCUACUGCAAAUAAAGAUGUUUGA
Molecule: ribosomal RNA, 381 nt
Filed under: Triticum aestivum (bread wheat)
Lineage: Eukaryota; Viridiplantae; Streptophyta; Magnoliopsida; Poales; Poaceae
Description: partial small subunit ribosomal RNA
Source: RNAcentral